UCAGGCCUAACACAUGCAAGUCGAGCGGUAGCGGGAAGAGCUUGCUCUUUGCCGACGAGCGGCGGACGGGUGCGUAACACGUAGGAAUCUGCCCGGUAGUGGGGGAUAGCCCGGAGAAAUCCGGAUUAAUACCGCAUACGCACCAGCUCUUUAUGAGCGGUGGAAAGCAGGGGAUCAGCUUGCUGACCUUGCGCUAUCGGAUGAGCCUGCGUCGGAUUAGCUUGUUGGUGGGGUAAAGGCCUACCAAGGCGACGAUCCGUAGCUGGUCUGAGAGGAUGAUCAGCCACACUGGGACUGAGACACGGCCCAGACUCCUACGGGAGGCAGCAGUGGGGAAUAUUGCACAAUGGGCGCAAGCCUGAUGCAGCCAUGCCGCGUGUGUGAAGAAGGCCCUAGGGUUGUAAAGCACUUUCAGUGGGGAGGAAAAGUUGAAGGUUAAUACCCUUUGGCUGUGACGUUACCCACAGAAGAAGCACCGGCUAACUCCGUGCCAGCAGCCGCGGUAAUACGGAGGGUGCGAGCGUUAAUCGGAAUUACUGGGCGUAAAGCGUGCGUAGGCGGCCACCUAAGUUGGAUGUGAAAGCCCCGGGCUCAACUUGGGAACUGCAUCCAAAACUGGGUGGCUGGAGUACGGGAGAGGAGUGUGGAAU
RNAcentral lists this ribosomal RNA (650 nucleotides) under uncultured bacterium. RNAcentral describes it as "bacterial SSU rRNA". It matches the Rfam family "Bacterial small subunit ribosomal RNA", at positions 42 to 667 of the family's 1533-position model. The record is from RNAcentral.